RNA transcript from Gastrolobium bilobum, 1575 nucleotides. It is a transcript of the gene named EID1-like F-box protein 2, with no coding region annotated. The transcript is spliced from 5 exons. Lineage: Eukaryota; Viridiplantae; Streptophyta; Magnoliopsida; Fabales; Fabaceae. The record is from RefSeq and is a predicted model, not a curated record.
GCUCUGUCUUUGUUCCAUCUUCUCCUUCUUCCUUCCACCUUUUCUCUUGCAUUCAGAGUGUGUUCUGUAAUUUAUGUUGACCGAAUUGCCCCUCUUCAGAGAUGCUUGCAUUUUGAAGAAAUUCUAAGUCUGGUCUUGGUUGCUAUGCUAGAGCUUGAAUCGAAAUGAAUUGAACAUCCCUCACUAUGGAACUUGUCUGCUGCUUUUGAGUUUCCUUGUUUUGUCAAAUGUACGAAUACCCUAAGGUAUGCCAACAAAAAGUUGUUAUAAACUAAUCAUUUUUCUUUGAGUUUGGCCGGGUGAAGAAAAUGAUUAUUGCAAAGCAGUACCGAUGCAUGCACUCAGCUAGCUGUCAAUGUACUAAAGGGCAUUUAAGUGAAGAUGUGAUAUUCUUGGUGUUUCACCAUUUGAAUUGGAACCCCAAGCUAAUUGCUACUCUUUCAUGUGUGUGCAAAUGGUUUGAUGAUCUUGCCAAGCGAGUUCUAUGGAAAGAAUUUUGUCGAACAAGAGCUCCAAAGAUGAUGCUUGAUCUGCAAUCUAGUGGAAGCCACAGUGUUGAUGGGAGCUGGAGAGCCCUAGGGAAGCUUCUUAUAUACUGUUCAGGAUGCAAGAAAGGUGGCUUAUUCAAUAACAUUCAGGUUCCUGGUCAUUUUGUUUAUCGGACUCGAUUUUCUAGAACAUCAGGAAAGAGCUUUCUUUUGCCACAAUGCAUAAAUGAUGUUUUAUAUGUGUCUGAUCCUUGUGAGCAUCUUGACCAAGGUGAAGAUGGAGAUUUGGGAUUCUACCGCGGAAUUUUCAAGUCAUUUGCAACCUCAAAUGUCAGGAGGAUGCUUAUUAACAAAGGUGCACAGCUCCAUCCAACAGAGGUUUGCCCUUAUUGUAAGGCAAAGUUGUGGAGCAUGCUGCAGGCUAAUAUGAUCCCACAAAGUGCUAGUUGCAGGUUAGGUUCCUAUGAAGACUGUAUUGAGUAUUAUGUGUGCCUUAAUGGUCACAUGCUUGGAAUCUGCACUCUGUUACCAUUGUAUGAUUCUGAAGAGGCUUCUGAGAAGGAGUAAGAUAUUAAUGAUUCUCAGAUUGGCAUUCAGUCCUCACAUGAAGUUUGGUUGAAAACACUGUUGGUAUCCUUAUGGGUUCAUUUGAAGAACACUAUACCCUCCAAUCUCCUAAGUCCACCCGAGCAAAGAGAUACUCUUAGUAAAAGUAAUUCUGGAUUGAAGGAGACGAAACUGUCAUUCUCUCCCUUGCCUUGUUUUGGAUUUCUGGUAGGUUUGAAUUAGGACAAAAAAUGUGGGAUUUGAUGCAGAUAGCCUUUCUUGUGGGGUCCUUUUUUCAUGAAUAGGGACCAUUAUUAUUCACUUUUUUAUUUUUGGGAGAAUAUCCCCUAGUAAUCCCAUAGGUUUCCUAUGGAUUAAUUCGGAGUUUGUGGCGGGUCUAGAUUAUGGCUUUAAAUCUUCCAAAGAUGAUACUGCUCAUUUCUACCUGCUCAGUUUUCAUGCGUUAACUGAGUUAUCAUCAUUUGAUAUUGUUAUUCAUUUUAUUAUUCUACUAUCCUCAUGCCUAAAACAAAAUACCCUC